This 981-nucleotide ribosomal RNA is filed under the name Triticum aestivum (bread wheat). RNAcentral's name for it is "partial small subunit ribosomal RNA". The record is from RNAcentral. Lineage: Eukaryota; Viridiplantae; Streptophyta; Magnoliopsida; Poales; Poaceae.
AUGGGCCGCCGCCGCCGCCAACCCUCCUCACCGUCGCCGGCGGCGGAGCAUCCGCUAUCCACCCUGGACCUGCCCUACCGCAUCCCUCCCGACCACUUCUCCCUACAAGUCAACAGCCGCAAGCCAUGGAGGUUGGUCGACUGCCGCCACGGACGCGUGCUCCUCAAGAACAAUGAGAGGCGUCAGGUCAUUGUGUGGGACCCCAUCACCGGCGACCGCUCCCUCUUGUCCGUACCGCGGGAGUUUGACGACAUGCACACCGCGGCGGUGCUCUGCUCUGCCGGCGAGCAGGGCCACGCGCAUGGUGCCUGCCACUCGAGCUCUUUUAAAGUGGUCGUGGUGGACUGCUACGAGCACGACUAUGAUGCCGUUGCCUUCGCAAGUGUUUACUCUUCAGAGACUGGCGUAUGGGGUGAUCUCCUCUCAACACCGCUUCCAUAUAGUGGUAUUACUGUUGUUAAUCCCAGUACACUUGUUGGUAACACCCUUCACUGGUUGCUUUCUGGGUAUAGCGGCAUACUUGAGUUUGAUUUCGAUAGACAGACGCUAGCUGUGAUCAAUAGGCCACCAGGCGCUCGUUACAAUGACAGGGUUCAGAUCGUCCAGGUAGAUGAUAAUGGUGUUGGCGUCUCUGCUUUGUCGUGCGCCCACUGCCAGUCUGCCUACUGCUCCCACCAACCCUGUUUACAUAUCUGCGAUAGGAAGGUCGAUUGCUAUGGUGUUGCCGUAUGGGUGUUGCGGAAAUCGAUUGAUCUGCAGAAGCUACUUGGGUUGGGGUUUAAGAUUGAGAUGAAGAGGUCACGUAUACUGCGUUAUGCUGAGGAUGUUCGUGCAUUAUUUUUAUGGCUGCACUCAUCUCUCUUCAUGAUUCAGCUUGAGUCAAUGCAGCCCAAGGAGCUUUUCAAAAGCGAUAAUGUGUACACCUAUUAUCCUUUCACAAGUUUCUACAAUGAAGUACAGUCAGGUCAUAUCAGGCUAUAA